RNAcentral lists this ribosomal RNA (253 nucleotides) under uncultured bacterium. Its description in RNAcentral is "partial 16S ribosomal RNA". It matches the Rfam family "Bacterial small subunit ribosomal RNA", at positions 524 to 776 of the family's 1533-position model. The record is from RNAcentral.
UACAGAGGGGGCAAGCGUUAUUCGGAAUUAUUGGGCGUAAAGCGCACGUAGGCGGCUUUGCAAGUCGGAUGUGAAAUCCCUCGGCUUAACCAAGGAAGUGCAUCCGAAACUGCAGAGCUUGAGUACUUAAGAGGAUCGCGGAAUUCCCGGUGUAGAGGUGAAAUUCGUAGAUAUCGGGAGGAACACCAGUGGCGAAGGCGGCGAUCUGGGAAGAUACUGACGCUGAGGUGCGAAAGCGUGGGGAGCAAACAGG